Molecule: ribosomal RNA, 405 nt
Filed under: Ectocarpus crouaniorum
Lineage: Eukaryota; Phaeophyceae; Ectocarpales; Ectocarpaceae
Description: eukaryotic LSU rRNA
Rfam family: Eukaryotic large subunit ribosomal RNA
Source: RNAcentral
CGGACCUCCGAUCAAGCAAGAGGACCCGCUGAAUUUAAGCAUAUGACUAAGCGGAGGAAAAGAAACUAACCAGGAUUCCCCCAGUAACGGCGAGUGAAGCGGGAAGAGCUCACGUUGUAAAUCUGACUUCGGUCCGAAUUGUAGUCUGGAGAGGCGUGACCAGCUGGAGACGGGGGCGAAGUCUCUUGGAAAAGAGCAUCAAGGAGGGUGACAAUCCCGUUCUUGCCCCCGCCUUCCACGCGUACGGUCCGUUUUCUACGAGUCGAGUUGCUUGGGAUUGCAGCUCAAAGCGGGUGGUAAAUUCCAUCUAAAGCUAAACACGGGUGGGAGACCGAUAGCGAACAAGUACCGUGAGGGAAAGAUGCAAAGAACUUUGAAAAGAGAGUUAAAGAGUGCCUGGAAUUG